CUUUAAUUGUGAUGGAGUGACGGAGAAGGAUAAGCAUACCUAUUAUUGGAUUUAGGGGUAAGUAGUUACUGGUGAUUGUAGGCAAAUCCGCAAUCUAUAACUGGGAGCUAUGAUGCAUAGGACUUUUGUCUGAAUUUGCCAAUUCCAUGCUUCCUAGAAAAGUUUCUAAACUUAAUUUUAUUGAAACCUGUACCAAGAACGGACACACGUCCCCAAGAUGAGUAUUCUAAGGCGAGCGAGAAAACUAGUGUUAAGGAACUCUGCAAAAUGACCCCGUAAGUUCGCAAGAAGGGGCGCCUAUGGUAACACAUAGGCCACAGUAAAUUAUGAGGGGCAACUGUUUAUCAAAAACACAACUCUCUGCUAAACCGCAAGGUGAUGUAUAGGGGGUGAAGCCUGCCCAGUGCCCGAAGGUUAAGUGGAUGCGUUAG
RNAcentral lists this ribosomal RNA (431 nucleotides) under Mycoplasmopsis bovis. RNAcentral's name for it is "bacterial LSU rRNA". It matches the Rfam family "Bacterial large subunit ribosomal RNA", at positions 1448 to 1893 of the family's 2925-position model. Lineage: Bacteria; Bacillati; Mycoplasmatota; Mycoplasmoidales; Metamycoplasmataceae. The record is from RNAcentral.